UGCGAGGUCGGUCGACCGGUCCGGCUGCUGGGCUCAUAACCCAGAGGUUGCAGGUUCAAAUCCUGCCCCCGCUA
RNAcentral lists this transfer RNA (74 nucleotides) under Cellulomonas sp. ATA003. RNAcentral's name for it is "tRNA-Met". It matches the Rfam family "tRNA". Rfam says of the family: Transfer RNA (tRNA) molecules are approximately 80 nucleotides in length. The record is from RNAcentral. Lineage: Bacteria; Bacillati; Actinomycetota; Actinomycetes; Micrococcales; Cellulomonadaceae.